AUGUUGGACAGGGCGCGUCUGCGCCUCCGGCCGCCGCGGCUCCCGGGGCCUCCGCCUGCAGCCGGCGGCGGAACGAGGGCAGGCGGCUGAGACAGGCGAGCUAUUUGCAUUCCCCGGCAGUCAUUUUUAUAUGCGGAGGUAAUGAAGUUGUCAGCGGCGCCCCGAGUGUGGCAGAGCCUGAUAUUCAAAUCGCCCUGCCCGCUCCGCCUGCUCCCGCCCGCUGGUCCCGGGAGCCCCAGGCUGCGCGCGCCCGCACCGCAUCGCCGCUUUGCCCCGCGACCGCGCGCGCCUCCUCGUCCUCCCCCGCGCCUUUGUUUCCGUCUCCUUCUCCUUUCCCUCCUCUUUUGUGUCGGGCCAGACUCAGCCCCAGAAACCAGCCACCCUGCCGCGUCCGACUGCCAGGGAUCCCUCACGCCGCGAGGUGGAGUCUCGCUCUGUCGCCCAGGCUGGAGUACAGUGGUGCGAUCUUGGCUCCCUGCAACUUCUGCCUCCCAGGUUCAAGCGAUUUUCCUGCCUCAGCUUCCUGAGUAGCUGGGACUACAGGAAGAGACACUAGAGAGACACUCAGCUGCAGUGAGAAUACACAGGCAUCUUCAAGUACCAGAGAUGUCUCCAAGAGCACCAGCAACCCCAGCUAUCUGGAUCUGAAGUGGAUAUGCUCAGAGACAUCCUGGCCCACCCCAAAGAAGAUGCUGCUGCACUCAGAAGACGCCAGAGCUAGCCACCACCCACACUGCAAGUCUGGAAGCUCUGCAAGGACCCAGCAAGGCAGCCUGCUCAGCGAAGGCUUUGUCUCCUGUGGCAGGAAGAGCAACAUUAAGAACAAGAACCCCGGGCUGGACUACCCCUGAGAUUUAAUGACCAGAGCUGAGACCCCCAAGACCACAAUGACUAUGGAGGGCUGUCAUUACCCUGCCUGACCCUCUAAUGCCUCUCAGUUCAAGGAGGCCACUGAGUGAAACUGAAGGCUGGUUUUCCUUGGAAGCCAGCGGCCCAUCCACCUGCUCCACUUCCCUGCCUCUUGCAGCCUCCGCUCAAACACUGUCGUGGCUUGGCAGCACUACAAGUAUUUCAGGGGCUGCCAAGCUGCUCUCCUGUUUCCUCUUCCUUGGGGCUGAUUGCAUCCCAUGAUGUGCCCAGGUUUUGAGAUGCUCCUCGUGAAUGAAAAUAGGACUGUCUGGUUCCUCCAUCCAUAGCAAGGGAGCCUAGACAGAAAUAACUUCUGUGCAUUUCUCCAGCUACAUUUAGGGAAAACUAGAAAAUACAGAAAUAUAUCAAGAAGAAAAAAAAUUUAAAAAUGACCCAAAAUCCCACCAACCAGAGACAGCUAUUAAUGAUUGUGGUAUAUUUAUUGAAUUUACUAAAGUCAUGCUAUACGCUAGGCACUGUGGAGGGACUGCAGAAAGACUUCAAGGACUGCACCGUCUUGUUAGAAAGAUGCCUAGACAACAUUUGAGAAACGCUGAUCAUGUCUGAUGACACAUAACUGCUAACAGUUACAUGGAAUUUUCUAUAUGCUAUAUACAAACAUACAAAUAUAUGUAUGUAUAUUUACUCAGCUCUCACAACAGCUACUACUGUUAUUAUGAAUCCUGUUUUAUAGUGAGAAAACUGAAACAUGGAGAGGUUAAGUAAUUUGCCCAAGAUCACAUAGCUACUAAGUGGUGGAACUGUGAUUAGAAUCCAGGCAUUCAGGCUCCAGAGUUCAUACUCUUCACAUACCACAUCUAUCUUGAAUAUAACAAUGUAGAGAAAAAGAAUUAUAGCAAGCAUAUGUCUAGGUAAGCAUUUUCCAGAAGUGACUGUUUUUUUGCAUUGGGUUUGUAAACUUUCAACAAUAAAGCAGGUUGGACUUUAUAUCAGUCAAAGCAGAAUAUUCUGAUGUCACCUUCCCCAAUGUUUAGGAUGUUAAUGAGAAUUGCUAAUCCAAGAGAAGAAAAUAAUCUCAUCUAAUUUGGGUAAGUCAAUUAUUUGAAAGUAGAAGAACCACCCUUCCACCUCUCUUGUUCUAAGGAACCUCUGGGGGAAGUACUGGAAAAAUAAUGCUUUCUAAUAAGCCCAAUAGGGCUUUUGAUUUGUAAUAACUAUUUUAAUAAGUAUCAGUUCAAUUCCUAUUAUUUUUAAGAAGUUCAUUGAAUGAAUUAAAGAACAAAUGAAUGAGCAAUGCUUUAGGCUAUAGGCUUUCAGAGGACGUAAUUCUAUGAAACAGACUCAGUGGUAUGCUGGCACCAGCUCCUACUUGCGUCUCUUUUCAACUUUGUGUUCAGUGACUUUGCCUUGGUAGCUUGACAUCAGCCAUGGUGGGAAUAUUUAAACUAAAUAACUGAGAAAAUGAUUCAUAUUAGAGAGCUUUCUUUUUUCCCGGGAACUAAGUGUUAAACAUUUACCAGCACACCACUGCCUAGACUUGUUAGGAAAUUCACAAGUGAGAAGAAAUUCUGUGAUUCCAGGAGAUGAAAGAGGGAAGUGUAAUGAGAAUAUCAACUUGAGUAUUUUAUCCGUUGCUUUCUUUAAUUGGGUCAUUUCAGAGGGUGGGUAGAUUUUGUUAAGACAGUUGAAAUAUUUAGGUAGGUAGAGGGGUGAGUGCAGUUGAAGAGUAAAGGCUGUUUGGGGCAGACAAAAGAAUGAUAGCACUCUUUCAAGUGCUCUGCCACCAGCAGUAAAAGUCGGGAGAAGGACCUAGCACCAGGACACGUGAUCUGUCCGGCGUAAGCGAGUGCUGAGUCAAAGGCCUGCAAUUCAGGCCCCUGCUCUGGGGCACGGUCAGUUUCAGCCAGGCCCAACUCUCUUUCCCAGGUCCAUGGCGUGGAUGGCACCCAGAAUCCAGCAGGGGAGUGCUGGUGGAUACACCUGGGAGGGCCUGGUGGAGGAUCAUUUGCGUGCAGAAAUAAGGAAAUAGACAUAUUUGAGCUGGAAGAAAAUCUUACAUGUCUGAUCCAAUUCUCUCAUUUCACAGAUAAGGAAAAGGGGCCCCAAAGAGUGAAGAGGGGAUGUCCUGAGGUCAUGAGGCUGGCUUACAGCAAGGAUCUGGACCAGACAGCAGGGUGGGACCCUCAGCUGUCCCCAUACUUGCUGCUUGAUAUUGGAUAGGUUAUUUAGGCUCUAUGUGUUUUCUCAUAAACACAUAGAGGUUAGGUAAAAAUGGUGGUGUGAGAAUGAACUAAUACAUGUAAAGAGCUUGCAUGUAGUAAGCUCUCAAUAAAUAUUAAUAAUACUGGGCACAGUGGCUCACACCUGUAAUCCCAGCACUUUGAGAGGCCAAGGCGGGUGGAUCCCUUGAGGUCAGGAGUUUGAGAACGCCCUGACAAACAUGGUGAAACCCCAUCUCUACU
This 3332-nucleotide long non-coding RNA is filed under the name Homo sapiens (human). RNAcentral describes it as "non-protein coding lnc-SNX10-2:20". The record is from RNAcentral. Lineage: Eukaryota; Metazoa; Chordata; Mammalia; Primates; Hominidae.